AUAUCCGGUAGCAGAUAGUCACCAGUUGCUGGCCGCCUGCCAUGUGCCGCCGGCAUGGUUCGAGCCCAUGCGGAUCGGC
Molecule: transfer RNA, 79 nt
Filed under: Andreprevotia sp. IGB-42
Lineage: Bacteria; Pseudomonadati; Pseudomonadota; Betaproteobacteria; Neisseriales; Chitinibacteraceae
Description: tRNA-Gly
Source: RNAcentral